ACAACGAGCUUCGAAGACAUAGUGGGUAGAUUGAAAGCGUAUGAAGAACGGAUCGCUGAAGAAGAAGAAGAAACACACGACGAUGGGAAAUUGAUGUAUGGUGAUACGAGCCAAGAUAGUUAUGGAGGAAACUAUAGUGGAGGACGAGGUCGAGGUCGAGGCGGUCGUUCUCAAUGGAGAGGAAGAGGCCGUGGUCGCACCGGAUCAACGUUUCAGAGUCAGCGAGAGGCAUAUAGACAGCGCCUAAACGGAGAUGCGUCACACAUAACUUGUUUCAAGUGUGACAAGCAGGGUCAUUAUGCCACUGAUUUUCCGGACAAGGUACUAAAGCUCCAAGAGACGGCUGAAAAAAAGAUGAAGACACCCAAGAUGCUGAUGAAUUAAUGGUACACGAAGUAGUCUACCUCAACGAGAAUAAAGUAAACCCUACUAGCUUUGAGGCUGAUCUUGAUGCAGAGAACGUGUGGUACCUUGACAACGGUGCUAGUAACCAUAUGUGUGGGAACCGCCUGUUCUUCUACAAGCUUGACGAGACCAUCACCGGUAAAGUAAGAUUUGGAGACAACUCUCGGAUCGACAUACAAGGAAAAGACUCAAUCCGCUUUGUUCUUAAGGAAGGCGAGAAGAAAAUCUUGAAUAAUGUCUACUAUAUACCUGGAUUAAGAAGCAACAUUAUUAGUUUGGGACAGGCUACUGAAGUGGGUUGCGAAGUCAGCAUGAAAGGCAAGACACUGAUGCUAUAUGACAGAUACGGAAGCUUGAUGGUUAGUACUACACGAUCAAGAAACAGACUCUACAAGGUCAGUUUGGAGGUCAAUCGUAUGUACUGUCUACAAAUAACUGAAGCCACACAAUCAUCCGUGUGGCACUCACGACUUGGCCAUGUAAACAUCAACACACUGAAGCUGAUGGCGAAAAAGAAACUUGUUACUGGCAUACCCAACGUCGAGAUUGAGAAAGAAAAGUGUGUCUCUUGUUUACUUGGAAAGCAAGCGAGGAAACCUUUUCCACAGGCAACGAAGUUUAGAGCUUCUAAUCCACUUGAGCUUGUUCACGGGGAUCUUUGUGGUCCUAUUUCACCAUCUACGCCGGCUCAGAAGAGGUAUAUAUUUGUUCUUAUAGAUGAUCAUAGUCGAUACAUGUGGACAAUAUUAUUGAGAGAGAAAAGUGAAGCUCUUGAAAAAUUCAAAAGAUUCAAAACACUUGCCGAGGAAGAAACACAAAGCAAGGUCAAGAUGUUUCGAACCGAUAGAGGAGGUGAAUUUGUGUCUCAUGAAUUCAAUGAAUACUGCGACAAGAAUGGUAUAAAGAGGCACUUGACAGCUCCAUACACUCCUCAGCAGAAUGGAGUCGUAGAACGACGAAACCAAACACUUAUGGAGAUGACAAGAAGUAUCUUGAAGCAUAUGAACGUACCAAAUAGCCUAUGGGGAGAAGCUGUGAGACAUUCUACUUACCUAAUCAACAUACUUGCAACAAGGUCAUUAGAUGAGAGAACACCAUAUGAGAUGCUGCGCUCAAGAAUACCAAACCUCUCGCACUUGAGAAUAUUCGGAUGCCUAUGUUAUGCAAAAACAGAAGCACCGGGAAGAAAGAAACUAGAUGAUAGAGCAAGAGCUCUGGUACACUUAGGAACUGAACCAGGAUCAAAAGCAUACCGAUUACUUGAUCCAGUAACCAAGCGAAUCAAAGUAAGCCGUGAUGUUGUGUUUUAUGAAGGAAAAGAAUGGGAUUGGAGUAAAACAGAGGAAACAGAGCAUCCUAAAGCAGGAGAGCUUGUUGUGAACCUCAAGAAGUUGGGUAAUGCGUCAAAAGAAGUCGAGAUCAUUCAAGAUAAUGAAGAAGGAAAAGAAGAAGGUGAACAUGUUAUUGAUAUUGAUGAUGAAGAAGACAUUGAAGGUGAUGAAGAAGACGAUACACAAGGACCUAGACGGUCACAUCGCGUGAGUACAAAGCCAUCUUAUCUAGAUGACUAUAUUUUACUUGCUGAGGUUGAAGGUGAACGUCUGUUGAUGAUCAUUAACGAUGAGCCAUGGGAUUAUAAUAAAGCCAAGAAGUUGAAUGUAUGGAUAGAUGCUUGCAAGGAUGAAAUAUUCUCUAUAGAGAAAAAUAAUACAUGGGAACUCGUUGUGUUGCCUUCUGGAGUGAAGCCAAUUGGACUCAAGUGGGUAUUUAAAAUAAAGCGUAAUGCCGAUGGUAGCAUCAGCAAGUUUAAAGCACGGUUAGUGGCAAAGGGAUAUGUCCAAAAGUAUGGUAUUGACUAUGAUGAGGUCUUCGCACCAGUGGCUCGGGUUGAGACAAUAAGGCUGAUCAUGGCGCUUGCGGCUUCUAGAGGAUGGGAGAUCCACCACCUUGACGUUAAGACUGCGUUUCUCCAUGGAGAAUUAAAGGAGGAAGUGUUUGUGGUUCAGCCAGAAGGAUUUGUAGUUAAAGGUCAAGAAGAAAAGGUUUAUAAACUCAAGAAAGCACUUUAUGGUUUGCGUCAAGCACCAAGGGCCUGGAAUAUAAAGCUAAACAAGAUCCUACGAGGUCUGAACUUUCAAAGAUGCUCGAAGGAACCUUCACUGUAUCGAAAGGAAGAAAACAAGAGUCUACUUGUCGUGGUUGUUUAUGUAGAUGAUCUAUUGGUUACUGGAUCAUCACUUGAAGUAAUACAAGAGUUCAAGAGAGAGAUGGCUACUAAGUUUGAGAUGAGUGAUCUUGGCAAGUUGACUUAUUACUUGGGAAUAGAAGUUUAUCAAGGAGAGAAUGGUAUUGUGUUAAGACAAGAUCGGUACGCACGGAAGAUUCUUGAGGAAACCGGAAUGGGCUCGUGUAAUCCUACACAUGUGCCAAUGGAGAUGAAUGCCAAGUUUUCGAAGUCACCUGAUGAUAAGGACAUUGAUGCAAGAGAGUAUCGCCGGAGCGUUGGCUGUCUAAGAUACCUAUUACACACACGUCCUGACCUUUCAUUCAGCGUGGACGUGCUUAGUAGGUAUAUGCAAGAACCUAAGGAGUGUCAUGGAGCUGCUCUGAAGCAAAUCUUGAGGUACCUGCGUGGUACAUGCUCUCUUGGUCUUCGGUUUAAGCGUGGUGGUAACUUGAAACUGGAAGGUUACAGUGAUAGCUCCCAUAAUGUGGACAAUGAUGAUGGGAAAAGCACCACAGGCCAUGUUUUCUACCUUGGAGAUAGUCCUAUAACUUGGUGUUCAACAAAGCAAGAGAUUGUGGCGUUGUCAAGCUGUGAAGCAGAGUUUAUGGCUGCUACUGAAGCAGCAAAGCAAGCCAUUUGUCUUCAAGAAUUGCUUGGUGAAGUUCUCAAUGAAGCUUGCAAGCGAGUAAUGAUCAGAGUCGACAACAGAUCAGCAAUAGCACUCACAAAGAAUCCUGUGUUUCAUGGUAGAAGCAAACACAUACAUAGGAGGUUCAAUUUAAUUCGAGAGUGUGUUGAAAACGAGCAAGUGGAAGUUGAUCAUGUGCCCGGAAGUGAACAGAGAGCUGACAUACUAACCAAAUCACUUGGAAGGAUCAAAUUCAAGGAGAUGAGAAACUUGAUUGGAGUUGAAGAUAUGAAUGAAGUUGAGCUCAAGCUUAUGGGGGAGAAUGUUGGAGUAAGCUUGAAGUAACUUGAGAUUGAAGUUACCUAAUCCUAUUGUGUUAUGGAAAUCUAUAAGGAUUAGGAAAUAUUGUUUUUUGUUAAACCUAUUGUGUUUAGGAAACUUUGAUUCCUAUAUAAGAAGAUGUCAAGAUGUGACAUAGCUUAUGAGUUUUAGGUUAUUGAUUUGAUAUUGUGAUUGUGAUCUGAAUUGAGUGAAUAAGAGAAGGACUUCUUAUUAAACUUGUUUGUGUGAUUCUAUAUUUGGUAUCAGAGCAAGCAGGUUCUAAAGAUCGAUCAUGAGUGAUAACAAGGAUGAGAUCGUAGCACACAAAGACACCGGCAUGGCGCACAAAGACAACGGCCCUGCUUCCAUCAAAUUUCCGAUGUUAACUUCUUCAAACUAUACUGUCUGGGCUAUGAGAAUGAAGGUGGCACUUAAGGUCAGUGAGGUAUGGGAAACAAUUGACCCGGGAUCCAAGGAUGAGAAGAAGAACAAUAUGGCUAUAGCGUUUCUAUUUCAAUCCAUACCCGAAGCUCUAAUCUUGCAAGUUGGAGACAUUGAUACAGCAAAGGGAGUUUGGGAUGCAAUAAAGGCAAGACAUGUUGGAGCUGAGAGGGUCAAAGAAGCUAGACUACAAACCCUAAUGGCAGAAUUCGAUAGACUCAAGAUGAAAGAAGAAGAUACAAUAGAUCUCUUUGUUGGGAAACUAUCUGAAAUCUCAUCAAAAUCUGCAUCACUAGGCGAGACCAUUGAAGAAUCCAAACUUGUGAAAAAGUUUCUAAAGACCUUGCCAAGGAAGAAAUAUAUACAUAUUGUGGCCUCUCUUGAACAAGUUCUUGAUUUCAACACAACGAGCUUCGAAGACAUAGUGGGUAGAUUGAAAGCGUAUGAAGAACGGAUCGCUGAAGAAGAAGAAGAAACACAUGACGAAGGGAAACUGAUGUAUGGUGAUACAAGCCAAGAUAGUUAUGGAGGAAACUAUAGUGGAGGACGAGGACGAGGUCGAAGCGGUCGUUCUCAAUGGAGAGGAAGAGGUCGUGGUCGCACU
Molecule: long non-coding RNA, 4626 nt
Filed under: Brassica napus (rape)
Lineage: Eukaryota; Viridiplantae; Streptophyta; Magnoliopsida; Brassicales; Brassicaceae
Description: long non-coding RNA (BNAP_LNC014216)
Source: RNAcentral